RNAcentral lists this non-coding RNA (232 nucleotides) under Rossellomorea marisflavi. RNAcentral describes it as "Bacillus marisflavi T-box sequence". It matches the Rfam family "T-box leader". Rfam says of the family: Uncharged tRNA acts as the effector for transcription antitermination of genes in the T-box leader family. T-boxes are found upstream of many aminoacyl-tRNA synthetase genes and some amino acid biosynthetic genes usually in Gram-positive bacteria. Lineage: Bacteria; Bacillati; Bacillota; Bacilli; Caryophanales; Bacillaceae. The record is from RNAcentral.
AAACAGGCUUUGACAAAGAGUAGUACCCCGCUUGCCGGUUCCAAGAGAGCCUGCGUCCGCUGAAAGCAGGCAUCCGCUUGCGGGGGAAUGGACUUUCGAGCUUCCCCGGUGAACGCAGUAGCCGGAGACGGACCCCUUCCGUUAGCCGGGACCAUGCAAAGCAUGGACUAAGCCGACUCAUUUCUUGAGUAACUUAGGGUGGCACCGCGGAAACAACCCAUUCGUCCCUAUA